UAAACAAUAAAGAAAGACUGUUGAAUCUUGGGCAAUUUGUGGGUUGUUGAAUGGUUCUGCCAAAAUUUGGUGGGAAAAACAAUCAUCUACUUUGUUUUGCAAAGAUUUUGCCUUGUCUGUAUUUUAUAAUCUUGGAAAGGCUUUUUAACAAGGGAGACCAUGCAAACACCCAUGAGUUAUAUUGACAUUUUUUAAGGUUUUAAAGUUAUCUGUUGGAUUGUUUGCAUAUUAACUCCCAUCACUUGUAUUAUAGAAUUCUGCUACUGUUUGCAUAUUAAUCCCCAUCACUAGAAUUCUGCUACGGAUAGGUGGUUAAGGAAAUGAACACCUUUUCAGUUAAAAUGAAAAAUGACAUUCUCCGCGGAGCAAUCUACCAGCAAACAAAUGUCCUUUUCAGCUUUUUAUGAAUACUAUCUGGUUUCAGUCUAAUACUUCAUAUAGGGGCAGUGGCGGAGCUAGAAAUGAGCCGUAGGGGGGGGGGGCAUUUUGCUUAACUUAUAAACAUAUAUACUAGCAAGCUGUUGUAAAAAAAAAUCGUCUUUCAUCGUAUUGGUAUUGCGCAGUCCUAUUUUGAUGAUCUUCAAGGUAGAAAAAGCACACUCAAUGCUUCCUGUUGAAACUGGUAGAGUGAGAAGCAACCGAAGCAAUCUAUCAUUCAAGUGUGCCAAAAUCUUGUACUGCGAAGACAUCAAAACCACUUAUUCUCUUUAUAUUCUUACUGGAAAUGAAGCAAAGAAGACAAUAUGCUCGGUGAUUGCUCUCUGAAUACUCUAACCAAGAAGGAAAAUCACUGAACCAAUUAAACUUGAAAUGAUGCUAUGUGAUUUCAUUUGUGCCAAGGGGGGGCCACAGCCCAUGUUUGCCGACAUGUAGCUCCGCCGGUGUAUAGGGGCAUGGUGGCAAUUGUCCCAAUGCUUUAACAAAUCGUACAGUUAUGCUUAAUUGAAAGAACUUACUAAACCUAGUGUUUGAUUUCAUGAUCCAACAAAAAGUAAGAAUUCUUAUGGGAAAAGAUUGGAGAGGAUUGAAAGGGAAACAUCAGGUUGCUAAAAUGAAUUAUUUCUUCCCUGCAGGCUACAUGAGUUAAAAAAGGAUCUCAUGGCCACGUUGGCACUUUAAUAGCCUCGGCCAGUGAAGAAUUUUUUGUCCUUGGUUAUUAAUAAUAAUGAGCAUCUCUUAUGAUUACAUUGAAAGCAGUUGGCGACUGCUUUGGAUGAUGAUUGAUGCUUGUUUUAUUCAGUCCAUCCUCAUGAGUUGAUUAUUAUCACCCAAUCAGCCACUUUCAGAAUCAGAAGCAUGUAGUUGUGAGCUAUAGGGCUUUGGCAGCAUCAAUGCAAGCACUAUUUACUGUGCAUUUUAUAUCGGUUGCUCCUAAUCUCACUAUCUCCUCAAAGAUGUUCUGCUAAUGACUCAGUGGCUGGACAUGAACUACGCCUGAAGGAUAGGAAUCUUUUGUUUUUAUUCAGUGGUUGGUACUAAUAGGUGACCUCAGUGUUUGCACUUGCUGAAUGUCUUAUCAGAAAACGAAUAGAAUAGAAGUUUCACCAACUAAGCAUGGAAUUUUGGCAACCUUUGUUCAUGGAACAGUAGCUUGGCAUAUCUGGAUGCAGAGAAAAUGUAUCAUUUUUUUUCAGAAUUAGAGACCAAGUUUUGUAGCUUCAAGAAAAGGUUUCACUGAUGAAGUCUAUAUGCAGCUCAAUAGAAUCAAAGGAGAAGCAAGACCUGUUAUAGCUUGGCUAGUUUCAUACUCCUGAUCAUUGUCGAGGGGCUCUCUUGUGCUCUUAGUUUUUGCCCCUCAUUUGUAUGUACAAAAGUAGGGAUUUCCACUGUAUUUUCCUCAAAAAAAAAUUGUGGCAACCAGACACUUGACUGGCUUUUUAUUGUGAGAGAUUAUGUAGCAUAAGAAUCAGAAGAAUUUCUUUACAGUACUGCAAUUUUUAUGGAAUUUCCACAUGGUAAGAAUGGAAAACAAAUUGUUGAUAUCUCUAUGAGGACGCACAAAGUUAUUUAUGAGCAUCUAUCAGGGUCUUUGAUUAUCCCAUAUUAACUUUGCGUGUUACUUCAGAUGAUUAUCAGGUUUACUUAAACACUUCAGUGAUCUCCAUGAUUAAUACAUGUUGUGAAUUCAUGGUCCAUCUUCCAGCCUAAUUAAAAACCAAGUUAGAUUAUUUGUCAGUUUCAUAUUAACAAAACGUCGUAAGCCUCUAUUGGUUUGAUAAUUGACAUAUGAGCAGGCCAACUCAACAUUUUGAAGGUGAGAUUCAUUUUUACCGUACUCAAAAUACUCCUUUUCACUGCUUGCAGGAUGAUAAAUCAUAAGAGAAUUAAGAUAAUAUUGUCAGUAACAGUAACACAUCCAACAUAGAGCCUGAAUGGUACAGUAUGUAUCAAGCUUGCUACAGGCAUGAGUGUGAACUGCGUGAAUCAACUCAUCAAAUAUCUCCUUCACGUCACACUUGCAUCAUAUUUUAAGACAUUCAACAGAAAACAUAAUUGAUUCCCAUCAUAUAAAUACGUUCAACAGGCUGUGCCAUUCUCUUUUUUAAAAAAAAAAAAUAAAGCAAACAGGCUGUGCGCCUGUGCCAUUCUCUUUCUUGAUUUGUGAUAGAAUUGCUAGUCUGAAUCUCACCUGUUGGUAUUUGAACAACAGCUCCCUGAACUUGUUUGCAUGGUUCAUCUCUUUAAAUUUGAAGUAACUUAAUCUAAUAGAAAUCAUAUCGACCGAGGAAUACAUUCUUGUAAGAUUGCUACACUCAAGUUUGAAAACACCAACACUGUCUGCUCGUUGCUUCUGUUUUUCCUUGACCUUAGCACAAGUUUGAGUCUUAGCUUUAAUCUGCGCAGGAGUUGGUAGCAAGAAUAGCGAUCAUGGACAGGUUUUGCAUUUGUCUUGUGUGUUUGCCUACUAAGCAAGCAAUUAGUAGCAUGGCACUCUGAAAAUGCACAAAUCAUAAUUUUGGGGAGGAAAACUGUGGAAAAAGAUAAUAGAUCCACAGCCUCUUAGAUGCACGCCAAGUGUUUGUUUUUGCUUUUAUUUUUUUCUUACUAGGACUGUAGGACGGAUCAAUAUCACUCACUACGUACGGGGUGCCAUAUUUGUUAAACCUGGCCAUGUCAAGGGCUCAAGGCCUGACAAAGGGUAUGCGGAAAACCAUACUAAAGUAUUUGAAACCGGCUUAAAUAGGCCAAGGUGAAAGAUAGGCAGUUUAAAAGUUUGAGUCUGAAACUAAUGAAUUAUAGAGUAGUAUGUUUUUCAUAUUAUGGAGCAAUACUUUCAAGCCCCUGCAAUUUGGUAAACAUUGCAGCAGCUGAUGUAGGUGCUGUGCUUGAUUUGCUAGCAGCAAACUAAUUUCCAUUCAACUCGUGACUUUGUAGUGAUGAGAUUUACUAUCUACUCUGCUGUUGGAGAUGUCGGUUUGUGGCCAGGUCAUGCCAAGAAGGCGCUGUUGAAGCACAGAACUGGAAGAAAAGGGAAUAAAACGCAUUAUUAGCACCCCGCUGUAUAAAGUGUGCAACACAAUGUUGAGCUUUCUUCUGAGCAUCUGCUGGUAAGCAAAGUUUGGUCCUGUGCUUGCUGUUGAAACUUUUCGGCGAGAAGAAAGUGUGCGGAGACAUCAGACAUGGGCGGCUGUGCCGCGGCUUCGCUGCCAGCUGGGAUGGUGAGAUUUGCAGCCAAAGCAUCAACAUCAAUGCUACCAGGCUGCGCCGGUGCCGGAGGGACGGAGUGGCGGGGACCAUUCCUUGGUCAAUACACUCGCGCCAAUAAAUACGGCCGUUGCAUGUGAGCCCACUGGCCGGGGGAAUCCUUGGGCGCCUGUGCUUGUCUUAUGGUAAAGACCCGGCGGGGGUGAACAUUUAACAAGGCCGGUGAGGCUUCCCCUGCCGCGCUCCAGCUCCGCUCGAGGCGGCGGUCGCUGCUGUCCGUGCAGCCUCUGGGUUUGCCGGUUUGACGUACCAGCGGGUACAUCCACGGAGCACUGCUCGCGUGCGUGGCGAACGGAACCAGGAGCGUACGUACACUGUGCUGUGCCCUGGCCGGGCCGUCUCUCGUCCUUCCGGUUCCGGGCAGGGGGCUCCAGGAUGAAAACAACCGUCUUCUUUUGUCUGUCCUUGUCGUCAGUGGCGGAGCGCUGUGGAGGCGAAAUUGGGCCUUGGCCCCCUCUUGGCCCAGGAAAAACAAUGAGCCGUCCGGCAUGAACUUCUAGCGCGCAUCUUUCGGCAGCUUGCCUUUUUUCUUCUUCCUCGAGAGCUCCUUCCAGAGGCUGUUCAGGUAGCCGCUGUACUUGUUCAAGAGGCAGUUCUU
Panicum virgatum (switchgrass) is the source of this 4303-nucleotide long non-coding RNA. RefSeq lists it as uncharacterized. The record is from RefSeq and is a predicted model, not a curated record. The transcript is spliced from 5 exons. NCBI's taxonomy places the organism in Eukaryota, Viridiplantae, Streptophyta, Magnoliopsida, Poales, Poaceae.